UACGUAGGGGGCAAGCGUUGUCCGGAUUUAUUGGGCGUAAAGAGCGUGUAGGCGGCCAGGUAGGUCUGCUGUGAAAACUCGAGGCUUAACCUCGAGAUGUCGGCGGAAACCAUCUGGCUAGAGUCCGGAAGAGGAGAAUGGAAUUCCCGGUGUAGCGGUGAAAUGCGCAGAUAUCGGGAAGAACACCCGUGGCGAAGGCGGUCUCUGGGACGGUACUGACGCUGAGACGCGAAAGCGUGGGGAGCGAACAGG
This 252-nucleotide ribosomal RNA is filed under the name uncultured bacterium. Its description in RNAcentral is "partial 16S ribosomal RNA". It matches the Rfam family "Bacterial small subunit ribosomal RNA", at positions 524 to 776 of the family's 1533-position model. The record is from RNAcentral.